This 1127-nucleotide long non-coding RNA is filed under the name Gallus gallus (chicken). RNAcentral describes it as "lncRNA (ENSGALG00010019207.1)". The record is from RNAcentral. Lineage: Eukaryota; Metazoa; Chordata; Aves; Galliformes; Phasianidae.
CUGAAAUGUUAAUAAACCCUAGAGUCAGUAGUCUUACACCAAUCCGACCUUCUCUAUUAAGGUUAGGAAGGAGUGCCGUUGGCAUAGGUUGAAUUGGAGGGGAUUUCCUUUUGUUUUGCAAUGUGCACGCAGACAAGCAGGCACCAAGCUACAAGUGAGUAACUUUCCCACUAAUCCUCCAAGGCGUGUGACAAUAUGACCCUGAGCUUUUACAACUAAGAACAGUAUGCUUUCAUUAUUGAUAGAGACUUGGAACCUGCAACCCACAGAAGUCCCAAGAGUGCGGAUUUAUCCAUGGAAUUAUACCAAGAAUAAAUUAGACCACGGACAUCAGAGGCACCACUCACAGGCGUAUGAACUACUGGCUCCAGUCCACUGUUUCCGUACUUUGGUUAUUUCCAUUUAGUUUAACUUGAUUAGAUUCCAACACUCAGUAAACUUGAUCAAAUUUUUUUUGAAGAAUAUGUUUGCAUAUCAACUACAUUUUUCACAUCCUUGCUCAGCCUCUGGAAAAAGCUCUUAAUAAAGAGGGAACUUACAGUUUCGCCUGUAAAAUAGCAACAGCCAAAUUUCCACUAUGAUUUGGGAUCAAGCAUCAAGUGCUGGAAGAAUAUGUUGCAAUUAUCCAGGUGAAUUGUUAACUGAAAUGUAAGGUUACUAACUGAGGUAAUUACCGCAGUGUCACUAUGAACACACUACCCCUGCAUUCUCCCAGCAUGAUACAGUGCUUAUGAUGGAUAGUGGCUGUUAGGUCCAGACUGGGAGCAGCAGCAACCUGUUCUUAAAUCCUUCCUCUGUCUAAUGCUCCUUGCUUAACACUCUGUUAAUUCCUGGUAACCCUGCUAUUCUUCCAAGGGCCUUAAAAAAAAAAACAAAAAAAAACCCACUUCCUUCAUCAUGCCAUUGUUUCAUCAUGACUUUGUGAAAGAAGAAAAGAAGGGGAAAAAAAAAAAGAAAGGAAAAAAGAAGGAUUGAGAUGGAACAAAAGACUGUGUAGCAGCAAGGAGCUUCUCCUGCAUCCACUUACUGAAGAAUGCAGAGUUCAAUCUUCAAAAUGGGAAAUCAACUUGUAUUUCUUACAGACAAGCAUUUUCUGUUGCAGAAAAACAAGUAAUAAACGUUCUCCC